AGCUCAGUGGUUAGCGCGUUAGACUCUAGAUCUAAAGGUCCCGAGAUCGAAUCUCGC
This 57-nucleotide transfer RNA is filed under the name Stegodyphus mimosarum. It matches the Rfam family "tRNA", at positions 9 to 63 of the family's 71-position model. Rfam says of the family: Transfer RNA (tRNA) molecules are approximately 80 nucleotides in length. Their secondary structure includes four short double-helical elements and three loops (D, anti-codon, and T loops). Lineage: Eukaryota; Metazoa; Arthropoda; Arachnida; Araneae; Eresidae. The record is from Rfam by way of RNAcentral.